Molecule: ribosomal RNA, 447 nt
Filed under: uncultured bacterium
Lineage: Bacteria
Description: partial 16S ribosomal RNA
Rfam family: Bacterial small subunit ribosomal RNA
Source: RNAcentral
AACGAACGCUGGCGGCAGGCCUAACACAUGCAAGUCGAGCGCCCCGCAAGGGGGGCGGCGGACGGGUGAGUAACGCGUGGGAAUUUUCCUCGAGGUACGGAACAACUCAGGGAAACUUGGGCUAAUACCGUAUGAUGUCUAGCGACCAAAGAUUUAUCGCCUUGGGAUAAGCCCGCGUCAGAUUAGGUAGUUGGUGGGGUAACGGCCUACCAAGCCUGCGAUCUGUAGCUGGUCUGAGAGGACGAUCAGCCACAUUGGGACUGAGACACGGCCCAAACUCCUACGGGAGGCAGCAGUGGGGAAUCUUGCGCAAUGGGCGAAAGCCUGACGCAGCCAUGCCGCGUGAAUGAUGAAGGUCUUAGGAUUGUAAAGUUCUUUCGCUCGUGACGAUGAUGACGGUAACGAGAGAAGAAGCCCCGGCUAACUUCGUGCCAGCCGCCGCCGUAA